Molecule: long non-coding RNA, 825 nt
Organism: Agrilus planipennis (emerald ash borer)
Lineage: Eukaryota; Metazoa; Arthropoda; Insecta; Coleoptera; Buprestidae
Exons: 5
Source: RefSeq, a predicted model, not a curated record
UUAGCCAAUUCUUUCGCAGGAUUUUACAUAAACUGUAGAUGCCGUUCGUUAUGAAGCAAUGAUUGUAGUUCUCUCCAGAAAGUAGCAGUACCUCAAAGAAUUGUAAAAGUGCCUUUUCUUUUCCACCGCAAAAAGAUUACUUGUUCAUUUGUGACAAUGAAUUGUCAAUUGUCAUGAGUGCUCUCCACAAUCAAGAGGUCAAAAUAUGAUUUUUUUCAUAAUGCCUCUUGAUGAUGUUAGGUAGAACUGGUCCACAUAGGUCAUUAACGAGGGUUGCAGUUUAUCAUAGGACUGCAAGGAUAUUACAAUUUAGGAACAUAAAAACUCCAGAUUCCAUAUGUUACAAAACAUUGGUUGUAUCAGUGCUCUUGCACUCUGGAAAGUGGUAAUACCCGAAGUUUGAGGAAGGUGUGAAGGUGCCUUUUACCGUUGGGAACUAAGAAAGUGUGCUGUAGCAGAAGGAAAGAUUUAUGACAAUGAACUGAUUAGUCAACAAUUGAGAGAGAUUUGAACUUAUAUCCUUUGCUUACUGAAAAGAUAAGUCGUCUCCUAUGGUGUUUUAGCUGUUAACCUUUCAUCUUGGAGGCUCUUGUGGUUAAUUAAGGAACAUUAGAAGAGCUCCGGAUACCAUUAAAUUAUGAGAUUUUGGAGCAUUGGUUGUAAUAGUCCUCAUUUGCCCCCGGAAAGUAGCUGUGCCUAUGGUUCUAAAGUAAGCAUGAAAGUACCUUCUUUUUUAUUGGGAACGAAGACAGUGUGCUGAAAAAAGGAUUUAUGACAAUCAACUGAUUGUUGUCCCACAAAUGAGAAGGAAUUGCAGUUAAUUUU